UUGUACACACCGCCCGUCACGUCAUGAAAGUUGGUAACACCCGAAGCCAGUGGCCUAACCCUUGUGGGGGGAGCUGUCGAAGGUGGGAUCGGCGAUUGGGACGAAGUCGUAACAAGGUAGCCGUACCGGAAGGUGCGGCUGGAUCACCUCCUUU
This 154-nucleotide ribosomal RNA is filed under the name Corynebacterium diphtheriae bv. gravis. Its description in RNAcentral is "partial 16S ribosomal RNA". It matches the Rfam family "Bacterial small subunit ribosomal RNA", at positions 1381 to 1533 of the family's 1533-position model. Lineage: Bacteria; Bacillati; Actinomycetota; Actinomycetes; Mycobacteriales; Corynebacteriaceae. The record is from RNAcentral.